RNAcentral lists this non-coding RNA (202 nucleotides) under Clostridium magnum. Its description in RNAcentral is "T-box sequence". It matches the Rfam family "T-box leader". Rfam says of the family: Uncharged tRNA acts as the effector for transcription antitermination of genes in the T-box leader family. Lineage: Bacteria; Bacillati; Bacillota; Clostridia; Eubacteriales; Clostridiaceae. The record is from RNAcentral.
AAAUUGCCUAUGAAGAGAAAUAGUAACAUAAUUAAAGGUUAAGAGAGUCAGUGGUUGGUGUGAACUGAUGCCUAUUAUUUUGUGAAUCCAUCUCCGAGGAUAUUACGAUGAGUAAUACGGUUAAAACCGUUAUUUUAAAUGAGAGAAUCAUAAUUUUAUUGUGAUUAAUAAGGGUGGCAACGCGAAGUCAAUCGUCCCUACU